RNAcentral lists this ribosomal RNA (351 nucleotides) under Paralacydonia cf. weberi NHM_326. RNAcentral's name for it is "partial large subunit ribosomal RNA". It matches the Rfam family "Bacterial large subunit ribosomal RNA", at positions 1953 to 2527 of the family's 2925-position model. Lineage: Eukaryota; Metazoa; Annelida; Polychaeta; Phyllodocida; Paralacydoniidae. The record is from RNAcentral.
AAGGUAGCAUAAUCAUUUGUCUUUUAAUUGAAGACUAGAAUGAAUGGAUAAACAAGAAUAAAUCUGUCUUAAUUUAAAUUAUUAUAAAUUUAUAUUUAGGUGAAGAAUCCUAAAUAAAUCUAUAGGACAAAAAGACCCUAUUGAGCUUUAUUUAAUUUUAUAUAUAAAAUUUUUUUAAAAAGGUUUAUAUAAUAAUAAGAGUUUGGUUGGGGCGACAUAGGAAUAAAAAAAUCUUCUUAUAAGAAUAUAAAAAUAAUAAAUAUCCUAGAAAAAGAAAAAAAAUUAGUUACCAUAGGGAUAACAGGCUAAUCUUUAUUGAGAGUUCAUAUUAACAUAAAGGGUUGGCACCUC